Molecule: ribosomal RNA, 229 nt
Filed under: uncultured bacterium
Lineage: Bacteria
Description: partial 16S ribosomal RNA
Rfam family: Bacterial small subunit ribosomal RNA
Source: RNAcentral
UGCGCAGGCGGCUUACUAAGUCAGUGGUGAAAUCUUGCGGCUCAACCGUAAAAUUGCCAUUGAUACUGGUAAGCUUGAAUUCAGUUGAGGUUGGCGGAAUGUGUAAUGUAGCGGUGAAAUGCUUAGAUAUUACACAGAACACCGAUUGCGAAGGCAGCUAACUAAACUGAUAUUGACGCUGAGGCACGAAAGCGUGGGGAGCGAACAGGAUUAGAUACCCUGGUAGUCC